Molecule: ribosomal RNA, 235 nt
Filed under: uncultured bacterium
Lineage: Bacteria
Description: partial 16S ribosomal RNA
Rfam family: Bacterial small subunit ribosomal RNA
Source: RNAcentral
CGGCACGGGUGAGUAACACGUAUCCAACCUGCCGUCUACUCUUGGACAGCCUUCUGAAAGGAAGAUUAAUACAAGAUGGCAUCAUGAGUCCGCAUGUUCACAUGAUUAAAGGUAUUCCGGUAGACGAUGGGGAUGCGUUCCAUUAGAUAGUAGGCGGGGUAACGGCCACCUAGUCUUCGAUGGAUAGGGGUUCUGAGAGGAAGGUCCCCCACAUUGGAACUGAGACACGGUCCAA